RNAcentral lists this ribosomal RNA (252 nucleotides) under uncultured bacterium. RNAcentral describes it as "partial 16S ribosomal RNA". It matches the Rfam family "Bacterial small subunit ribosomal RNA", at positions 524 to 776 of the family's 1533-position model. The record is from RNAcentral.
UACGUAGGGGGCAAGCGUUAUCCGGAUUUACUGGGUGUAAAGGGAGCGUAGGCGGUUCAGCAAGUCAGAAGUGAAAGCCCGGGGCUCAACUCCGGGACUGCUUUUGAAACUGUUGAACUAGAUUGCAGGAGAGGUAAGUGGAAUUCCUAGUGUAGCGGUGAAUGCGUAGAUAUUAGGAGGAACACCAGUGGCGAAGGCGGCUUACUGGACUGUAAAUGACGCUGAGGCUCGAAAGCGUGGGGAGCAAACAGG